GUGAAGAACGUAGCGAAAUGCGAUAAGUAGUGUGAAUUGCAGAAUUCAGUGAAUCAUCGAAUCUUUGAACGCACAUUGCGCCUCCUGGUAUUCCGGGAGGCAUGCCUGUUCGAGCGUCAUUAAAAUCACUCAAGCUUAGGUUUACCUAUUGCUUGGUCUUGGAGAUGGAAGCAAAUUCAUUGGAAUCCUCUUCGAAAUCCAAUGGCGAAGACCCUUGCUCUCCCAAGUGUAGUAAUAACUUAUGUCACUGAAGGAAGCGAGAAAUCUUCCGCCGUAACCCCCAUAUUUUCUAUGAUUGACCUCGGAUCAGGUAGGGAUACCCGCUGAACUUAAGCAUAUCAAUAAGCGGAGGA
Molecule: unclassified non-coding RNA, 353 nt
Filed under: soil metagenome
Description: partial contains 5.8S ribosomal RNA, internal transcribed spacer 2, and large subunit ribosomal RNA
Rfam family: 5.8S ribosomal RNA (bases 2-119)
Source: RNAcentral